Molecule: ribosomal RNA, 460 nt
Filed under: uncultured bacterium
Lineage: Bacteria
Description: partial 16S ribosomal RNA
Rfam family: Bacterial small subunit ribosomal RNA
Source: RNAcentral
CCUACGGGAGGCUGCAGUGAGGAAUAUUGGUCAAUGGACGAGAGUCUGAACCAGCCAAGUAGCGUGAAGGAUGACUGCCCUAUGGGUUGUAAACUUCUUUUAUAUGGGAAUAAAAUGUUCCACGUGUGGGAUUUUGUAUGUACCAUAUGAAUAAGGAUCGGCUAACUCCGUGCCAGCAGCCGCGGUAAUACGGAGGAUCCGAGCGUUAUCCGGAUUUAUUGGGUUUAAAGGGAGCGUAGGUGGAUUGUUAAGUCAGUUGUGAAAGUUUGCGGCUCAACCGUAAAAUUGCAGUUGAAACUGGCAGUCGUGAGUACAGUAGAGGUGGGCGGAAUUCGUGGUGUAGCGGUGAAAUGCUUAGAUAUCACGAAGAACUCCGAUUGCGAAGGCAGCUCACUGGACUGCAACUGACACUGAGGUUCGAAAGUGUGGGUAUCAAACAGGAUUAGAUACCCUGGUAGUC